This 641-nucleotide ribosomal RNA is filed under the name Asparagopsis taxiformis. RNAcentral describes it as "SSU rRNA". It matches the Rfam family "Eukaryotic small subunit ribosomal RNA", at positions 568 to 1209 of the family's 1831-position model. The record is from RNAcentral. Lineage: Eukaryota; Rhodophyta; Florideophyceae; Bonnemaisoniales; Bonnemaisoniaceae.
CAGCAGCCGCGGUAAUUCCAGCUCUGUAAGCGUAUAUCAAAGUUGUUGCAGUUAAAACGCUCGUAGUCGGAUUUUGGCGUUUGUCGGCGAUGCGGGCCUUCGGGUCGGUCGCUCGGCGAGUGCCUUUGUGGAUGGUGGCCGGUGCGCUGUUUCAUUACAAUGCGCUGGUCGCCGCCACUGUUUACUGUGAGAAAAUUUGAGUGUUCAAAGCGGGCGACUGGGCCGUGAAAAGAUUAGCAUGGAAUAAUGGAAUAGGACCCUUGGGUUCUGUUUCGUUGGUUUGUGAGACCCAGGUAAUGAUUAAGAGGGACGGUUGGGGGCAUUUGUAUUUCGGCGCUAGAGGUGAAAUUCUUGGAUUGCCGAAAGACAAACAGCUGCGAAAGCGUCUGCCAAGGACGUUUUCAUUGAUCAAGAACGAAAGUAAGGGGAUCGAAGACGAUCAGAUACCGUCGUAGUCUUUACUAUAAACGAUGAGGACUGGGGAUCGGGCGGGGCUGUUUAUUUGGCCCACCCGGCACCCUCCGAGAAAUCAAAGUGUUUGCUUUCUGGGGGGAGUAUGGUCGCAAGGCUGAAACUUAAAGGAAUUGACGGAAGGGCAUCACCGGGUGUGGAGCCUGCGGCUUAAUUUGACUCAACACGGG